GACGUAGGGGGCGAGCGUUGUCCGGAUUUAUUGGGCGUAAAGCGCGCGUAGGCGGCCGCUCAAGUCGGGUGUGAAAACCCGGGGCUCAACCCCGGGCCUGCAUUCGAUACUGGGUGGCUAGAGGCAGGCAGGGGAGAGUGGAAUUCCCGGUGUAGCGGUGAAAUGCGCAGAUAUCAGGAGGAACACCGGUGGCGAAGGCGGCUCUCUGGGCCUGUCCUGACGCUCAGGCGCGAAAGCUAGGGGAGCAAACAGG
RNAcentral lists this ribosomal RNA (253 nucleotides) under uncultured bacterium. RNAcentral's name for it is "partial 16S ribosomal RNA". It matches the Rfam family "Bacterial small subunit ribosomal RNA", at positions 524 to 776 of the family's 1533-position model. The record is from RNAcentral.